CUGACAUGCGGGAGGGAGAGAGUAACCAGAGAGAGGAAACGAUCUCAACGGGGAUUUGGGAAGGGUGAAAUUCUGCCCUGGCCCCCACCCAGCAGCAGCAGCUUUGAGGCCCUUAGCGGCUGGGCAGCGCUGGGCAGGGAAGAACACUGGACGACCAAGCACAAGAAGCCCUCGUAGCCAACGCCCAACCAUCGCAUCCACUAAGCAGCAAACCAAGAAGUGCUUGUUUUCCCGC
This 235-nucleotide small RNA is filed under the name Histoplasma capsulatum var. duboisii H88. RNAcentral's name for it is "Histoplasma capsulatum H88 hypothetical RNA". Lineage: Eukaryota; Fungi; Ascomycota; Eurotiomycetes; Onygenales; Ajellomycetaceae. The record is from RNAcentral.